CCUAAUUUAAGAAAGGGACGAUUUUAGCAAGCUUGACACUUUUUUUUUGCGACAGGACCAUUCACAGUUGAGCUCACUCAGUUUAGCUUUUUUUUUUAUCAAGGGAGGCCAAAUGUCCGCUGGCUUCUAUUGCAUUCAAUGCAACGGGCGGAAACAAUGUCAUAUUAAUUUUGACCAGACAGCAUCAGAUAGAUGUGCUUCACAUAAUAAGACAGAGAGGUGCUUUUUCUUUCGAUUGGAUGCUUUCUCCAGUGAAAUACAUUCAGCCUCUUGCGAAUUGAAGGAAAUAUAUGAAACAUAGAGAGAUGAAAGAUACAAAAAAAAAGAGCACAAUGUUUGGAAAAUCACAACAACAUAAACAUCAGGCACAGUUUUAUGUCAAGAUUGCAAGGACCUAUUCUAUCCAGAUACAAUGCGUCGGUGGGCCCAGUGGUGUGUGCUGAAUCUGGUGAGACUGAUGCUGUGGCUGUUAGCCCUGGCUAUACUGACUGUCCUGGUAGCCCCUGACCUGCUGUGGAGCCUGACUGGGGGAGAGCCAUAGGAGGUGUUGACGAAAAGCCCCUUUUGUUCUACAGUAUGUCCCAAAUGACCUCUUCUGUCUAUAAAAUCCAGAUGAAGGCUACAUGCUGAAACAAAUUGGUUUUUCAAAACAAAUAUUUAUUUUAAAAUCAGCUUUGUCCUCCAUGAGUGGCUGAAAUAGCCUCUUCUAUUUAGGUGUGGACAGGGUUGAAGGAGGGUCUGUCUCUGCUCACUCUGAUCAUAUCAUAAUGAAUCAUAAGGGGGGAAAAAAGCAUCUAAUCAACAAUGGAAUUAUUUUCAAUUAACUCUGCAACUCUUCCAACUAUUUACUUUUUCACAACUGCCACCAGUUUAACAUCAAAACAUAUUAACAUUGUAAAACAAAAACAUAAAAUACAUUUCAUGCUGAAACCCUCAUAUUAAACACCAAUGGUAUUAACUAAGUUAAUG
Molecule: long non-coding RNA, 969 nt
Filed under: Salmo salar (Atlantic salmon)
Lineage: Eukaryota; Metazoa; Chordata; Actinopteri; Salmoniformes; Salmonidae
Description: lncRNA (ENSSSAG00000104522.1)
Source: RNAcentral